AUUUAUUUUUUAUUCUCCUAUGUUAUUUCUUGGAACGUGAUUUUUUUUUUAUUCUAUAACGGGCGAUUCUUUGACCCUAUAUGCCAUGGUUCGUUUGUAUACGUUUUUCUACGAUAAUGACGACUAUGGUGAUGUUCCCCCAUGAGCAACAACAACAACACAUCGCCACAGCCAUCUUAACCCGGAACUAGAUGGUCCUUGCCAUGGAGAUGGUUCGCGUUUGAAUUAAAUCCCCUCUGCCUUUCGAAGGACUCACAGUUGUUCUCCUGGCGAGACGUCGCUGCGACGGACACGAGAGUUCCAUGCCGGUCGACAGUUGUCAGGCGGACUACGGCGACGGCGACGGCGACCGUGGCGCGUCCCUGUCUCCGCUGUCUUCCCGGCUGACGACCAAGGCCUUGAUCUGCCUGCUUGUGCCCUUCUGCAUGGUGCUUGCCGUGGCGGUCGUCAUCGGCGCCUUAAUUUCCUUGACAAGCCGCUGACGGUCUCGGACCGCAGGCCGGCACGUGUGCCUCUGGUGUUCGUCGACUCAGUGAGAAACAUGGCGGCGCUCUACGGGACGUGCGGAGUGGACGACGCCUUCUCCCGUGGCGUCAGUGAGCUACCACAAGGCUGUUCAUCACGCCGCUCUUGUCGCCGUGGCCAGAGGUGCUGGAAGAGUUGCCAAACUGACAUGCGUGUGGGAUGGCGAGCGUAACAACAAUGAACAACGCGAAAAAGAAUCCCUAGGCCCCUUAUUGUGUUGUCGCUGAAGGGAAUCUACAGCACUUUAGCGCAUGGAUUUACGAAUGAGCUCCUUUCGUUUCUGUCCGCGUGUACAGGGACGACCCAUGUCUAGCGGACCUGAAAGUGCAUAGUCACGGUAGUUCUCUAAUGAAUCACAGACCCUAAAUUUGGCCGUUA
Long non-coding RNA from Dermacentor albipictus, 903 nucleotides. RefSeq lists it as uncharacterized. The record is from RefSeq and is a predicted model, not a curated record. Lineage: Eukaryota; Metazoa; Arthropoda; Arachnida; Ixodida; Ixodidae.